Papaver somniferum (opium poppy) is the source of this 2399-nucleotide long non-coding RNA. RefSeq lists it as uncharacterized. The transcript has 10 exons. NCBI's taxonomy places the organism in Eukaryota, Viridiplantae, Streptophyta, Magnoliopsida, Ranunculales, Papaveraceae. The record is from RefSeq and is a predicted model, not a curated record.
CUUUCUUCUUCUGCUCUUGGUCUCCAUCUCUAACCUAAGGAACCAGCCCAUGGAAACAGAGAAAUUAGUAAAUCUUAGAUGCUAUUUAAACGAAACUAAUAAAACCUUCUAAAGAUUCUUCUUCUGAAAUCCCUCAUCUCACUUUUCGAGUUGUACAUCUCAAAUCUGUUGGAACAGAUUCAACCUUAUUAUUUCUCCAUUCAUCCCAAAAUCGAAACUACAAAUAUCGCGUAUUCAAUUAGGUCUGAUAUGUGAUUCAAACCUAUGAGCUUUCGUGAUUAGAUAUGAGACAUGAUUUGAAGCAAGGGUGUUUGUUCCAACCGGUCAAGUUUUUCGUGUUUUCUUCACUGAAAGGAAAUCGAGCUCUCAGAUCUAUAAAUUAGCACCAUGAAUGCUUCGAUCACUUACCUCUUCAUCUAAAUGCUCAUCUCUUUCGAAUAUGAGCACUAUUUUAUUUUUUUUAUUUUCCCUUGUAUUUAAAUUUUGGAGAUAGGGUUUUUUCAAUUAAUUUUAUUUUCUGAAUCUGAGAGGUACAAAAGGCAAUAGAGGAGUCAAAUUGGUGGCGGAUUCUGAUAUUAUUGUUGAUGUUUCUCAUAAGGUUUUGAGGUGCUAAUAGGAGCGGUUGGUGGAGUUGACAGUGGUACUGUAACAAUAAGAGUAUCUCUAGAUGAAAUCAGGGUGGAGGUACGAACUACGAAGCUUGAUGACUUGCGAUUUUGGUAAUUUUAUAGAAGUUCUUGAAUUGCUAAUUUUUGAGGAAAAUGUCUCAUACUGAAACCCAUCAAAUGCGCCGAUGUUGUGGAUAUAAAGAGAAAAUUGAGAAGAUGGGAACUGUCUGUUUCUUUCCACUAUCAAAUCUUGAGUGGUAUUCCUGCUCCUUCAAACUUUGGAGAAGAUUGGAAACGUCGUGCUCAGGGGUGUGUUGUACUUGACAGACACAGGGCCAAUAACAAAGGAAAGCGAGUGUUCAACUUCAAAAAUCCUUUAUUUGGUUUGGUUACUUAUUUAAUGGGAAUGGAUUCGAUUAUACGAAAGUGGCAUUCGUGAGGGAUACCAAAGCUUAACAAAGAAGUUUGAGAUAGUAUUGCAAGACUUAUACUAAAUCAAAGGACUGCGAAAAUGCAAAACCUUGGAAUGAAAGGUGUUAUUUUGCAUUCCCCUGCACAACACAGAAUGAAAUCGGGCAAUAUGAUGAUGUUAAUUUGGUUAACUCAGGUGGGGAUUGAGAAACAUAGAUAAUGGACCAGCAUUGCUCUGACUCAGGAUUUAAACUCGAGUCAACAAAACAUACAUCAGAAGCAGAGGUGAAGAAGUAGGAUGCCAUAAAGUUAACAUCUAAAGUUCAAGGAUUAAUUGUGCUGAAAAAAACCCAGGUAACUGUUCACAAUUCUUCUCACAUCUUGGUCAUCUUAAAGCAAUGCACUAGUGAAUCAGACUUGUAGGUCUCCAUUUAUUACUCGAAUAGAAAUGGACCUCUUGUGAGUCUGCGUUUCUUACUUAUCACAGUUGAAGGACUAGUUGUGCUGAAUACAACCCAGGUAACCAUUCACCGCUCUUGUCGCAGCUUAAUAACUUUGUUUAUAUGUAUUUCUCCGUUGUAUGCACACCUAUCCAUAUUUCACUACAUUUUAGUUUUUGUAAUGGCAGUUUGAUUAAGAUACUCCCAUAAUCGAAUCAUGUUAGUUUCCUUGUAAGAUAACCAAAUAAGAAAAUUUCAUCACCGGUUAAAAUAUUAUGUCAUGGUUCUUGUGACUGAACCCUACUUUUAGUUCACAAUAGUGAGUUAUGCAUGAGUAUUUUUUUGUCGAAUGUAUCACCAGGUGGGUCUAGUCAGGAUUUGUUAAUUUUUUUCUUUAGUGGGUAUAUACAGUUUUUAUUGCAAAAAUAGUUGAAUUUGAAUGCUAUUGUGGAUUCCAGGGGUUACUUACUUGUUGAAGAUGGAUUCGAUAAUAUGAAAGUGGCAUUUUUCAGGGAUAUCAAAGAUCAACAAAGAAGUUUGAGAGAUGGGGAUUGAGAAACACAGAUAAUGGACAAGCUCCGCCCAGAUACAGGUUUUAAACUUGGGUUUACGAAGCACACAACAAAAGCAAUAGUUAUCUCCAAGGAAGCAUUGGUAUUUGGUUUUGGAAUCUCCAAUAAGAUCAGACCCCAACAAGAAUGCUUAUAGAUCCAUUUGUGUUCACUGGAACCACAAAUGAAGCUCCUUCAAUUUCAGCAACUGUUGGAGAUGGUGAGUAUUGGGAUGGAGAUAUUCGGUAAUAAUGUUGGUUUUAACACUUGUUUAGUGGCUAUUCUUGUAAGAUAAUUAAUAUUGGUCAGAUCUCCAGAUUUUAAUCCUUUUUGUAUAAUUUGAAACCAUUGAAUCAUUGAACGUUAAAUUGGAUGAUUAUUUGUGUGCA